RNAcentral lists this ribosomal RNA (506 nucleotides) under uncultured bacterium. Its description in RNAcentral is "partial 16S ribosomal RNA". It matches the Rfam family "Bacterial small subunit ribosomal RNA", at positions 30 to 523 of the family's 1533-position model. The record is from RNAcentral.
AUUGAACGCUGGCGGCAGGCCUAACACAUGCAAGUCGAACGGUAACAGGAAGCAGCUUGCUGCUUCGCUGACGAGUGGCGGACGGGUGAGUAAUGUCUGGGAAACUGCCUGAUGGAGGGGGAUAACUACUGGAAACGGUAGCUAAUACCGCAUAAUGUCGCAAGACCAAAGAGGGGGACCUUCGGGCCUCUUGCCAUCGGAUGUGCCCAGAUGGGAUUAGCUUGUUGGUGGGGUAACGGCUCACCAAGGCGACGAUCCCUAGCUGGUCUGAGAGGAUGACCAGCCACACUGGAACUGAGACACGGUCCAGACUCCUACGGGAGGCAGCAGUGGGGAAUAUUGCACAAUGGGCGCAAGCCUGAUGCAGCCAUGCCGCGUGUAUGAAGAAGGCCUUCGGGUUGUAAAGAACUUUCAGCGGGGAGGAAGGGAGUAAAGUUAAUACCUUUGCUCAUUGACGUUACCCGCAGAAGAAGCACCGGCUAACUCCGUGCCAGCAGCCGCCGUAA